RNAcentral lists this ribosomal RNA (225 nucleotides) under uncultured Spirochaetaceae bacterium. RNAcentral describes it as "partial 16S ribosomal RNA". It matches the Rfam family "Bacterial small subunit ribosomal RNA", at positions 1158 to 1382 of the family's 1533-position model. The record is from RNAcentral. Lineage: Bacteria; Pseudomonadati; Spirochaetota; Spirochaetia; Spirochaetales; Spirochaetaceae.
ACAAACCGGAGGAAGUGGGAUGACGUCAAGUCAUCAUGGCCCCUAUGUCCAGGGCUACACACGUGCUACAAUGGGCGAUACAGAGUGACGCGAAGCCGCGAGGUGGAGCAAAUCGCAGAAAAUCGCUCUCAGUUCGGAUUGGAGUCUGAAACCCGACUCCAUGAAGGUGGAAUCGCUAGUAAUCGCGCAUCAGCAUGGCCGCGGUCGAAUACGUUCCCGGGCCUU